RNAcentral lists this ribosomal RNA (1442 nucleotides) under uncultured Bordetella sp. Its description in RNAcentral is "partial 16S-23S ribosomal RNA intergenic spacer". It matches the Rfam family "Bacterial small subunit ribosomal RNA". The record is from RNAcentral. Lineage: Bacteria; Pseudomonadati; Pseudomonadota; Betaproteobacteria; Burkholderiales; Alcaligenaceae.
GGUUUGAUUAUGGCUCAGAUUGAACGCUGGCGGGAUGUUUACUGAUGCAAGUCGAACGGGCAGGACUUCGGUCUGGUGGCGAGUGGCGAACGGGUGAGUAAUGGGACGGAACGUGCCUAGUAGCGGGGGAUAACUACGCGAAAGCGUAGCCAAUACCGCAUACGCCCUUCGGGGAAAGCGGGGACCUUUCGGGCCUCGCACUAUUAGAGUACCGGAUAUCAUCGAGCCAGUUGUAGUAACGGCUCACCAAGGCGACGAUCCGUAGCUGGUUUGAGAGGACGACCAGCCACACUGGGACUGAGACACGGCCCAGACUCUACGGGAGGCAGCAGUAAGAAUUUUGAUGUCAGAAACUCCUGAUCCAGCCAUCCCGCGUGCGAUGAAGGCCUUCGCUUGUAAAGCACUUUCGGCAGGAAAGAAACGGCACGGAUAAUACCCCGUGCAACUGACGGUACCUGCAAUAAGCACCGGCUAACUACGUGCCAGCAGCCGCGGUAAUACGUAGGGUGCAAGCGUUAAUCGGAAUUACUGGGCGUAAGCGUGCGCAGGCGGCUCCGGAAAGAAAGAUGUGAAAUCCCAGAGCUUAACUUUGGAACUGCAUUUUUGAAUUACCGAUGAUGGUGUCAGAGGGAGGUGGAAUUCCGCGUGUAGCAGAAUGCGUAGAUAUGCGGAGGAACACCAUGUAUAAAGGCAGCCUCCUGGGAUAACACUGACGCUCAUGCACGAAAGCGUAGGAGCAAACAGGGAUUAGAUACCCUGGUAGUCCACGCCCUAAACGAUGUCAAAUUUAUUGUUGGGGCCUUCGGGCCUUUAUAGCGCAGCUUAACGCAGUUGACCGCCUGGGGAGUACGGUCGCAAGAUUAAAAACUCAAAGAAUUGACGGGGACCCGCACAAGCGGUGGAUGAUGUGAUUAAUUCGAUGCAACGCGAAAACCUUACCUACCUCGAUGUCUGGAAUCCCGAAGAGAUUUGGGAUGCUCGCAAGAGAACCGGAACAUAGGUGCUGCAUGGCUGUCGUCAGCUCGUGUCGUGAGAUGUUGGGUUAAGUCCCGCAACGAGCGCAACCCUUGUCAUUAGCUGCUACGAAAGGGCACUCAAUGACUGCCGGUGACAAACCGAGGAAGGUGGGGAUGACGUCAAGUCCUCAUGGCCCUUAUGGGUAGGGCUUCACACGUCAUACAAUGGUCGGGACAGAGGGUCGCCAAGGCGAGGGGGAGCCAAUCCCAGAAACCCGAUCGGGCCCGGAUCGCAGUCUGCACCUGACUGUGAAGCUGAACUAGUAAUCGCGGAUCAGCAUGUCGCGGUGAAUACGUUCCCGGUCUUGUACACACCGCCCGUCACACCAUGGGAGUGGGUUUUACCAGAAGUAGUUACUCUAAUCCGGGGCAGGAGGGCGAUUACCACGGUAGGAUUCAUGACUGGGGUGAAGUCGUAACAAGGUA